AGAACGAACGCUGGCGGCAGGCUUAACACAUGCAAGUCGAACGCUCGUAGCAAUACGGGAGUGGCGGACGGGUGCGUAACGCGUGGGAACAUGCCCUUUGGUUCGGAAUAACCCAGGGGAAACUUGGGCUAAUGCCGGAUACGUCCGAUGCCUUUGCGGGCAUUGGAGAAAGAUUUAUCGCCGAAGGAUUGGCCCGCGUCCGAUUAGCUAGUUGGUGAGGUAACGGCUCACCAAGGCGACGACGGGUAGCCGGCCUGAGAGGGCGACCGGCCGACACUGGGACUGAGACACGGCCCAGACUCCUACGGGAGGCAGCAGUGGGGAAUAUUGCGCAAUGGGCGAAAGCCUGACGCAGCGACGCCGCGUGGGGAUGAAUGCCUUCGGGUUGUAAACCCCUUUCAGCAGGGACGAAGCGAAAGUGACGGUACCUGCAGAAGAAGCGCCGGCUAACUACGCGCCAGCAGCCGC
RNAcentral lists this ribosomal RNA (468 nucleotides) under uncultured bacterium. Its description in RNAcentral is "SSU rRNA". It matches the Rfam family "Bacterial small subunit ribosomal RNA", at positions 26 to 518 of the family's 1533-position model. The record is from RNAcentral.